GUCACUCAAAGAAAUCUUAAUUCUAUAUACAAAUCAUUCGUCUCGAUUUUGAGUAAGUUUAAAAUCGUCAUGAUGAUGCAAAACUCCAUCAAAUAGCAGUUGUUUGAUGUAAGACAAACCCCGGCCCCCUCAAACAAGAACUUGGGACGCAUUACACGAACAAAAUGAAGUGCACCAUAAGCUGGACUCCACUAUAUAGGACCAGUGAUGCAUCAACGAAUCCUUUCAAGCACGGAAGCUUUUCUACCACCUUAAGUUGGACUAAUGCUCGUUAUACGACGACUGACGCUUCAAAUGAAUCAUGUUUAGCACGAAAACUUUUCUACCACCUUAAGUGGACUUCAUUUUCUUAAUUAUACAGCUCCUAACUUUAGAACAGAAUUGGAAAUAAAAAAGUUGGCCUCUAUCCACUAACUUUUCUAUCACUCUGUAUAUAUGAUCAGAUUGUGCAACAUCUUUGUAUGAGUAUGGCUGCAUCAUUUAUUCAGAUGAGCUUCGUAUUGUUGCUCCUCAAUCUUCUGCUUGGGGCAGCCUAUUUACCACACCUCACUGCUCUUCCCUCUCAAUCAUCAGCUUCCCCUGUCUAUGCUAACUACCAUGGACGCCGCCUAUCCAACCACCAUCAAGUUUACAGGAGUGAUCCACGCCCUGCCCACGGUGGAAGCAUUAAUGAUUGAAGAGAUUUCACAUCAGCAUGCAUGAAUGGCUUCUUCUCAACUUUCUGCAUUCCAAACAAUUCUUGUAACAAAUCGUCUGCCUCCACCGCAUCCUCAAGUGUUUGUGUACCAUACCAUAUGAUUUGAGGUCUGCAGUCCCAGUGCUUGCAUAAUAAUUAUGUAUGUGAUGCAGAUAUCAUAUGUACAGGAUCACAAAUAACGUUAUUCCAUGGGUAACUUCAUAUUAUUAGCGAGUCUGCAAUUUUUUAUCAAACAUCUUUGUAUUCAAUUGGAAUUUUAAUGAAUUUUAUAUAGUUUGUGGAA
This is a long non-coding RNA of Daucus carota subsp. sativus, 980 nucleotides long. RefSeq lists it as uncharacterized. The transcript has 2 exons. NCBI's taxonomy places the organism in Eukaryota, Viridiplantae, Streptophyta, Magnoliopsida, Apiales, Apiaceae. The record is from RefSeq and is a predicted model, not a curated record.